GACGAACGCUGGCGGCGUGCUUAACACAUGCAAGUCGAACGGUGAACCACUUCGGUGGGGAUCAGUGGCGAACGGGUGAGUAACACGUGGGCAACCUGCCCUUAGCUCUGGGAUAACCCCGGGAAACCGGGGCGUAAUACCGGAUACGACCUCGAGCGGCAUCACUCGAGGUGGAAAGAACUUCGGCUAAGGAUGGGCCCGCGGCCUAUCAGCUUGUUGGUGGGGUAAGUGGCCUACCAAGGCGACGACGGGUAGCCGGCCU
Molecule: ribosomal RNA, 262 nt
Filed under: uncultured bacterium
Lineage: Bacteria
Description: partial 16S ribosomal RNA
Rfam family: Bacterial small subunit ribosomal RNA
Source: RNAcentral